This 641-nucleotide unclassified non-coding RNA is filed under the name Hevea brasiliensis (rubber tree). The record is from RNAcentral. Lineage: Eukaryota; Viridiplantae; Streptophyta; Magnoliopsida; Malpighiales; Euphorbiaceae.
AUCUAUCUAAAUAUGAGGGAGAGUCCUCCCACAAAGAACAUCCAAAAUUAACAAAUUAUUUUAUGAACACGUAUAUAAUUUGGAAGUGGAUUAAUGCCGGUAAUGCUUUGUGAAUAAUUUUGCUGAUGAUGGGACCUUUCUUCAUUAAUAAAGAGUCCUCAUUAAUGAAGCAAACUCUCUAGGCUAUAAUCAACACAUUUCUUUUGAAUUAGAGUCCUAAUUGAAAGGAAUGAAAGUUUUUACCCAUAUUAAUCCAAUUUUCAUACACACGUGUCACGCCCUCAAAUUAUUUGGACGCCAAUGAAGAGGGAAAUGAUGAGUGAGCCGAGAGUCCUUCUCACUCAUUGUGAAUCUCUAGGAGUCAAAUAAUACUUCUUCAGGAUUAGAGUUGUAAUUCGGGAAGGGAGAAACUUAAUAAAAUAUAUAACAAAUUAAGCAAACACAAUCUCGGCUCACUUUAGGGUCAUCCCAUUUACUCGUGUUCUUGGGACAACCGGAAUAGUGAAAUAUCAAUCGUUCCUAUGAUAAGCAUUGGGAACCAACAUCGUAAUUUUAAUCCCAAAAUUAUCGAUUUUAAGGAGCGCAUCAUUAAAUCUACUUGCUCUCGUUGAGGGAUGAUCAGUGUUAUCAAAGGCGAGCGA